UACUCCCUCUGGCGGCGUGCUUAACACAUGCAAGUCGAACGGAAAGGCCCUGCUUUUGUGGGGUGCUCGAGUGGCGAACGGGUGAGUAACACGUGAGUAACCUGCCCUUGACUUUGGGAUAACUUCAGGAAACUGGGGCUAAUACCGGAUAGGAGCUCCUGCUGCAUGGUGGGGGUUGGAAAGUUUCGGCGGUUGGGGAUGGACUCGCGGCUUAUCAGCUUGUUGGUGGGGUAGUGGCUUACCAAGGCUUUGACGGGUAGCCGGCCUGAGAGGGUGACCGGCCACAUUGGGACUGAGAUACGGCCCAGACUCCUACGGGAGGCAGCAGUGGGGAAUAUUGCACAAUGGGCGGAAGCCUGAUGCAGCAACGCCGCGUGCGGGAUGACGGCCUUCGGGUUGUAAACCGCUUUCGCCUGUGACGAAGCGUGAGUGACGGUAAUGGUAAAGAAGCACCGGCUAACUACGUG
RNAcentral lists this ribosomal RNA (467 nucleotides) under uncultured bacterium. Its description in RNAcentral is "partial 16S ribosomal RNA". It matches the Rfam family "Bacterial small subunit ribosomal RNA", at positions 36 to 507 of the family's 1533-position model. The record is from RNAcentral.